GUAGUCUGCAACCCGACUACAUGAAGCUGGAAUCGCUAGUAAUCGCGGAUCAGAAUGCCGCGGUGAAUACGUUCCCGGGUCUUGUACACACCGCCCGUCACACCAUGGGAGUUGGUAACGCCCGAAGCCAGUGACCCAACCGGAAACGGAGGGAGCUGUCGAAGGUGGGACCGAUAACUGGGGUGAAGUCGUAACAAGGUAGC
RNAcentral lists this ribosomal RNA (203 nucleotides) under uncultured bacterium. Its description in RNAcentral is "partial 16S ribosomal RNA". It matches the Rfam family "Bacterial small subunit ribosomal RNA", at positions 1300 to 1500 of the family's 1533-position model. The record is from RNAcentral.